This 200-nucleotide ribosomal RNA is filed under the name uncultured eukaryote. RNAcentral describes it as "partial 18S ribosomal RNA". It matches the Rfam family "Eukaryotic small subunit ribosomal RNA", at positions 588 to 799 of the family's 1831-position model. The record is from RNAcentral.
GCUCCAAUAGCGUAUAUUAAAGUUGUUGCAGUUAAAAAGCUCGUAGUUGGAUUUCUGGGGAGGUGCCAAUGUCACCUUAGUGUUGCGCAGCGGCGCCUCUCCAUCCUUCUGUUAACGUCGUUGGACCUUAAUCAGUCUGCGGCGGGCUCAGAUAUUUUACCUUGAGAAAAUUAGAGUGUUUCAGGCAGGCCAGGCCGGAA